RNAcentral lists this ribosomal RNA (774 nucleotides) under uncultured Neocallimastigales. Its description in RNAcentral is "partial large subunit ribosomal RNA". It matches the Rfam family "Eukaryotic large subunit ribosomal RNA", at positions 1 to 648 of the family's 3401-position model. Lineage: Eukaryota; Fungi; Neocallimastigomycota; Neocallimastigomycetes; Neocallimastigales. The record is from RNAcentral.
AGAGAUGUGUGAUGACGCAUAUCAAUAAGCGGAGGAAAGAAACUAACAAGGAUUCCCUCAGUAACGGCGAGUGAAGCGGGAAGAGCUCAAAUUUGAAAUCUUCAAGGUUCUACCUUGACGAACUUGUAGUUUAUAGAAGUGUUUUCUGUUAGUGGAGUGGCAAAAGUUCUUUGGAAUAGGACAUCAUAGAGGGUGAGAAUCCCGUAUUUGGUCAUUCCUCCUAGCGUUGUGAUACACUUUCAACGAGUCGGAUUGUUUGGGAAUGCAGUCCAAAAUGGGUGGUAAAUUUCAUCUAAAGCUAAAUAUUGGCGAGAGACCGAUAGCGAACAAGUACCGUGAGGGAAAGAUGAAAAGAACUUUGAAAAGAGAGUUAAACAGUACGUGAAAUUGUCAAAAGGGAAGCGUUUGACACCAGUGUUGUUUUUCCGAAAAUCAAUUACGAAUGUUUUAUUUUUGAGGAGUUAUGACUUCAUCGGCUUGCUCCUUUCUUUAUGAAACUUUCUUAAUGCACUUUUCGGUUAACAAGUCAACAUCAAUUUCUUUUGUUGUAAAAGGGUAUGAGGAAGGUGGCUUUCUUUUCGGAGAAAGUGUUUAUAGCCUUGUGCCUCUGCAAUCGGAGAGAUUGAGGUCUGCAGCGUAGAUCCUUCGGGGUUAGAUACGUUUGUGCUAAGUUAUAGCUUUUCAUAGACAACUUGUUGACUAUGUUAAGUCUUGUAGCUUACUCGCUUACGCUAUUUUACCUACGCUUAGGAUGUUGACGAUCAGCUGAGCGCG